This 501-nucleotide ribosomal RNA is filed under the name uncultured bacterium. RNAcentral describes it as "partial 16S ribosomal RNA". It matches the Rfam family "Bacterial small subunit ribosomal RNA", at positions 30 to 523 of the family's 1533-position model. The record is from RNAcentral.
AUUGAGCGCUGGCGGCAGGCUUAACACAUGCAAGUCGAGCGGGGGAAGGUAGCUUGCUACUGGACCUAGCGGCGGACGGGUGAGUAAUGCUUAGGAAUCUGCCUAUUAGUGGGGGACAACAUCUCGAAAGGGAUGCUAAUACCGCAUACGUCCUACGGGAGAAAGCAGGGGAUCUUCGGACCUUGCGCUAAUAGAUGAGCCUAAGUCGGAUUAGCUAGUUGGUGGGGUAAAGGCCUAACAAGGCGACGAUCUGUAGCGGGUCUGGGAGGAUGAACCGCCACACUGGGACUGAGACACGGCCCAGACUCCUACGGGAGGCAGCAGUGGGGAAUAUUGGACAAUGGGGGGAACCCUGAUCCAGCCAUGCCGCGUGUGUGAAGAAGGCCUUAUGGUUGUAAAGCACUUUAAGCGAGGAGGAGGCUACUUUAGUUAAUACCUAGAGAUAGUGGACGUUACUCGCAGAAUAAGCACCGGCUAACUCUGUGCCAGCCGCCGCCGUAA